CCUACGGGGGGCAGCAGUGGGGAAUAUUGGACAAUGGGCGAAAGCCUGAUCCAGCCAUGCCGCGUGAGUGAUGAAGGCCUUAGGGUUGUAAAGCUCUUUCAGUGGGGAAGAUAAUGACGGUACCCACAGAAGAAGCCCCGGCUAACUUCGUGCCAGCAGCCGCGGUAAUACGAAGGGGGCUAGCGUUGUUCGGAUUUACUGGGCGUAAAGCGCACGUAGGCGGAUCGUUAAGUCGGGGGUGAAAUCCUGGAGCUCAACUCCAGAACUGCCUUCGAUACUGGCGAUCUUGAGUCCGGAAGAGGUGAGUGGAACUCCUAGUGUAGAGGUGGAAUUCGUAGAUAUUAGGAAGAACACCAGUGGCGAAGGCGGCUCACUGGUCCGGUACUGACGCUGAGGUGCGAAAGCGUGGGGAGCAAACAGGAUUAGAUACCCUUGUAGUC
RNAcentral lists this ribosomal RNA (440 nucleotides) under Weissella confusa. RNAcentral's name for it is "bacterial SSU rRNA". It matches the Rfam family "Bacterial small subunit ribosomal RNA", at positions 338 to 795 of the family's 1533-position model. Lineage: Bacteria; Bacillati; Bacillota; Bacilli; Lactobacillales; Lactobacillaceae. The record is from RNAcentral.